CCACAUGCAAAAUAUACAACACUUAUAACAGGGAUAGAGUUACCCUCCUGCUUCGCGACCGGAGAAGAACGGCCUUCAAUCGCCAAAUAAAACCCUAGGUCCAACCACCGGGAACCGUAGGAUCUGGAAACUUACCGGAACAGGGUCAGAGACGUCGGAAAAUCGCCCAAAACAUCCACCGAAUGAGGAUCGAGCCAUCGGAUAGCAGUAAAACCCUAGGUUCAACCACCAGAAACCCUAGAAUCUGGAAAGUCACCGGAAAAAAUUCAGGGAUGUCGGAAAAUCACCCAAAACAACCACUGAGUGAAGAUCGAAACAUUAAACAUCCGCAAAAGUUCCGAUUAUCCGCUCAAUAUACAUCGUUCUCUCGGUAAACAAAAUU
Molecule: long non-coding RNA, 382 nt
Filed under: Nicotiana benthamiana
Lineage: Eukaryota; Viridiplantae; Streptophyta; Magnoliopsida; Solanales; Solanaceae
Description: long non-coding RNA (NBEN_LNC007445)
Source: RNAcentral